GACUCCCCUGGCAUCAACAGCACAAUUCUAAACCCAAAAACAUAAAAAAAUGGCAGCAAGUGUAGCAACAAUGGCGAUGCUCAAUGCAAAAUGCCUAAGCAUCAGCUCAACUAAGAUGAGCAGCCCAACAAAGCCAACCCCAAAGCCCUUCUCCCUUCUCUCCAUGCAGAACCUCCCCAAAGGCCUCACCAUCUCAAAACCAGCCAACAACUCAAACCUACCUUCUUCACUCGCUGGCAGCGCCAUUGCUGGAGCUAUCUUCUCAACCUUAAGUUCAUGUGACCCCGCCUUAGCUGCACAACAGAUUGCUGAAAUAGCUGAAGGAGACAACCGUGGGCUAGCUCUAUUGCUUCCCAUAAUCCCAGCGAUCGCUUGGGUCCUCUUCAACAUCCUCCAGCCAGCACUUAACCAGCUGAAUCGAAUGAGGAGCUCCAAAGGGGUUAUCAUAGGGCUAGGGCUCGGAGGAUUGGCUGCAUCAGGGUUCAUGUCAAC
RNAcentral lists this long non-coding RNA (492 nucleotides) under Gossypium barbadense (sea-island cotton). RNAcentral describes it as "long non-coding RNA (GBAR_LNC023521)". The record is from RNAcentral. Lineage: Eukaryota; Viridiplantae; Streptophyta; Magnoliopsida; Malvales; Malvaceae.